CUCAAGGUGGUUGGCUAUACCAUUCACAGUAAUGAGGAAUGUAAGAAAUCUCAGGUUGGUGUGAGAUUAUUCCUGUUUUGACCUUAUUAAACCCAGGCUUGUGUGGAAUGAUUGCUGCUUGGGCCUUACUAACUUAGGUUAAUUCAUUAUUAACCUUCAUUUCUCAAGAGAUUAAUAAUGAAAAAUCUAGAGCUCAAGACAGAUGUCAAGGCACAAGAAAAGAUAGAGAAGUCAGUCAGUGUUAAGACAAUGGAAUAAUAAGGUACUUAAGAUUGUUCAGGCAGAAUGUGUAACUUAAAGGCACAGAACAUAAUCUCAAAGAACUCCCAACAUUAAGGAAUAUACAAAGGAGACUAAGGAACAGAUAAGGGGAAAAAAAUCAGGAGUCAUUCACAGAAGCCACAUGCUAAAGAUGAAGUGGGAAGGAAAAUGCCUAUCAAAUGGAGCAAAAAGAUCAAUAUAAGGGUGAGUUCACUUGAUCUGACAGAAAAGAAUGGGAAUUGUUCAUUGAAUAUCUAUUUUUCUAUGCUUUGUGCUAAAUGCUUUUUAACUGUCACUUUCCUUAUUGCUCAAAACAAAAUCUGUCAAAUGGGUAUUGAAAUCCCUAUUUUACAGACAAGGAAAGGUAAAUGGCUUAGAAGAUUUAAGCAAUUGCAAGGUACAGCUUGUAAGUAUAGGAGCCGUAUCAGCCUACUCCUGAAACCCAUACUCUUUCUACUGAAUCUUUCAGACACAGGUGACAGUCAACAGAGUACAAACGAUGUAAUCUUGAGGUGAAAACCUGACCCUGACUGAAGCUGAAGAUGAUAAGAAAAUAUAAAGGACAUACUGUUUCACAAAAUUUGUUGUGAAAAGGAAAGACAACAUGCCCUGGGGUUAUUUUACACCACUGAUACAGCAAUUUGACAAAAAUUUAUAAAGCUAUUGUCUGCAAUUCUGUGCUUGAAACAAAGUGACAUAACAAGCUUGAAAGGGAUGUAAGGGGAGUUCAAUCUUUUUCCACAUUACCCUGGAUAGAAAAGCUUGUGAUAUACAAACAGACAAGCUCCUAUUAAUACCACUUAAAGUACAUAACAAGUUUAUCUUUUAAGAUUUUUUUAAAAACAUUAUAAAAUCACCAAAAGGUGAAGGGUAUAUUUGCUUCAAGGUGUUUCUGAUUUAAGAUAGUGGAUUGGCCCCAUGAGUUUGUCUCUCCUCCAUCCCACUAUAGUAAAAUGAAAGAAAUUUUUAAAAUAUGAGAAAAAUUAUUGAUAAGACUCAUCAUCUUAGAUGAAUCUCAGGGGCAUUAUGCUAAAGAAAAGAAGGCGUUUCAAAAGUUACAUAUGGCAUUUAUUCUAUUUAGAACUUUCUAGAAGAUAAAACUAUGGGGAUAGAAAACAAAUUGUGGAUUAUGAGUGGGGGGAAGGGAGAAUGACUACAAAGGGAUAGUAUAAGGAGUUAUUUGGGGAGUGAUGGUACUUUUCUUUAUCUCUGGUGUUAAAACUCACAAAACUAUGCUACCAGAACAGAAGUAAAAUUUACCAUAUGAUAAUCUGAAAAACAAUUUUAAAAAAGAUAUGAGCCCAAAAUUUGAAUAGAGAGGAGGCAGCAACAGACAAAUGAUUUCAACAAAUUUGUGGAAAACUGAAAGCAGAUGGAAUAUGACUGAGCUGAACAGAGAAAGCUGCAAUCUAGAGGGACUACAAGGCGGAUACCAGAGGGAAGCAUGCUGAUUGAUUCCACAACCCCUGAGAAGCUCAGAUUUGGAGGUAGAACACCAGAGAAUUUUUAUCUGGAGAAAUAAAUGGGAGACAAUUAAGUGGAAGAAAUAUGGGGAGGGACAGAUACAAGGAAGUAUGUGUGAAGUGGAAAUCAGGAGGUGAGAUGGAGGACAAGGAAGAAGCACAGUUAAAAGCAGUAAGUAAGAGAACCUCCCUAGACCCCUUGAAGCACUGCCCACAAACACAGAGCUUUCAAAUAGUGUUUUGGAGUCUACUCAUAUAUUGCCAAGACUAGCCAGAAAUAACAGGAAAUUCGCCUAUAUGAACAAGAGAAAAAACAAAUUACAAAUAGCAACAAAUAAACUUUGGUGUUAAUAGAGCAGUAAACAAAAGUAGUAAUAUAUAUUCAUAUAUAUAUAUCCUCAGAAAAAUAAGAUAUCUAUAAACUAAGUAGGAUAUUUUGGAAACAAAAUAAAAUGAAAGAAGUUCUAGAAAUUAGAAUAUUUUUAGAAAUGUGCUACAAAUUCAAUACAAGGAAGAUAAUGUUGCAAGAAAGUUAUGUAAAUGUUUUAAAUAAGGCAAUUAUUAAUUCCAGGAAAAAUAAAAUUAUGCAAAAGAAAAUCAUAUUACAUUUGCCCUAGGGUAUAAAAUAUUUAUACAGUCAUACUUAAAUAACAGCUAAUGCAUUUACUAAAUAUUAUGAUAUAACUACAUAAUAGAAGGCAAAGUAUGUGUGUUAGAGAGCUAAAUCAUGUAACAUCAUGUAACAAUAAUGUCUAAAAUUGUUAUAUCAAGCAACAGAAUAGCCAUACUAUUUAGAUACACUAAGGUAAAAGAAGAAACAACUUUUGGAGUCACAGUGAUUGCCUCUGGGAGGGAAGGAAAGUUCAGGCAGGGACUACUAUUUUUUAUCAUAAAGCCUUUAGAACUUACUAUUUUAUUUUUUAAAACUGUGUACAUGUUACUUUGAUAAAUUUUAUAGAUAUACAAAAGGAAAUAAGGCCACCACGGUCUGAUUUGUUUUUAGACAAGAUAUUUAUUUUGAAGUUCCAAAUGACAUUAGCAGAAUUGUGAUUUUUAUGUUUACUGAAUGGUGCAUGGGAUAAAAAGGGGUUCUAAAACACUUUACUAGAUCAUCCAAACCCUACAAUAGACACUUAUGCAUCAAAAUUCUUGUAAAAGGACCACUUC
This 2891-nucleotide long non-coding RNA is filed under the name Homo sapiens (human). RNAcentral describes it as "HSALNT0335144". The record is from RNAcentral. Lineage: Eukaryota; Metazoa; Chordata; Mammalia; Primates; Hominidae.